Molecule: long non-coding RNA, 867 nt
Organism: Cyprinus carpio (common carp)
Lineage: Eukaryota; Metazoa; Chordata; Actinopteri; Cypriniformes; Cyprinidae
Source: Ensembl
AAAAAUUUUGAAGUAAAAUGAAAUGAAAAAAAUGAAAAAUAAAGUUAGAUUUUUCUCUUUUUUUGACAGCUUUCAAUCCUUUGUAAAAGAGCAGAUGCACAAAAUUUCAAAGAUGUGCACAUACGUAGGCUAAUGCGAGGAAGUGUCAUUGCUGAAAGUAUUGCAGUAUAUAACUAUCCCAACAACAACUCGCAAAUAAUGUUUCUAAAUAACGAUUUGGGACCCACCCUGGAAAAAAUCUUUAACGACUCAGAUUCGUUUAAAAAUCUCAGUAUAGAUCUCGGUAAUGUUUCCAUCCAAGAUGCCCAAAUUACCAUGGAGCCAGUUAAAAUAUCAAAAAUUUUAGAUCUGCAGCCAUUUGUGCAAUGCACAUUGAAUUUUGCAAACUUAACAGAGGAGAUUGAAGAUGGAGCAUGGGUAUGUGUGGGAUCAUGCAAAAAAAAUCCCAACUUUUGCAAUCAAAGAGGUAGAUGCCUAAAUGAAAUAAAUGGACCACAGUGCAUGUGUUACAGUUCUCCCUUUGAGGAGUACUAUGGCGCUCAGUGUGAGCUUUACAGGAGAGGGACCGGUUUCUACGCUGUUCUCUUCGGCUGUUUUGCAGCUUUUGCUCUACUUAUCAUCGUCUUGGCUGUGAUGAUUGUGGUGCUCUACAGAGCCAAGAGGUCUGUAUAAACUGUUUCUGUGACUUAUUCAUAGACCAAAACAUCAAAACAAACAAAUAACACAGUGAUCUAAUUUCAGAACAUCAAGCAAAAGGAGGUUAUCACUUUUUGACGAGGACUUCUAUGAUUUUACAUCAAGAGGUAUGAUGUCUAGCUUAAGUAAAUGCUUAAGUAAAUAUACUUCAGCAGCAGUAUAAGAUGAAAA